CGCUGGCGGCAGGCUUAACACAUGCAAGUCGAGCGGUAACAGAAAGUAGCUUGCUACUUUGCUGACGAGCGGCGGACGGGUGAGUAAUGCCUAGGAAUCUGCCUGGUAGUGGGGGAUAACUUGCCGAAAGGUAAGCUAAUACCGCAUACGUCCUACGGGAGAAAGCAGGGGACCUUCGGGCCUUGCGCUAUUAGAUGAGCCUAGGUCGGAUUAGUUAGUUGGUGAGGUAAUGGCUCACCAAGACCGCGAUCCGUAACUGGUCUGAGAGGAUGAUCAGUCACACUGGAACUGAGACACGGUCCAGA
Molecule: ribosomal RNA, 305 nt
Filed under: uncultured prokaryote
Description: bacterial SSU rRNA
Rfam family: Bacterial small subunit ribosomal RNA
Source: RNAcentral